This 225-nucleotide ribosomal RNA is filed under the name uncultured bacterium. RNAcentral describes it as "partial 16S ribosomal RNA". It matches the Rfam family "Bacterial small subunit ribosomal RNA", at positions 524 to 748 of the family's 1533-position model. The record is from RNAcentral.
UACGGAGGGGGCUAGCGUUGUUCGGAAUUAUUGGGCGUAAAGCGCGUGUAGGCGGCUUUGCAAGUCGGGUGUGAAAGCCCUCGGCUCAACCGAGGAAGUGCGCCCGAAACUGCAGAGCUUGAGUACCGGAGAGGAUGGCGGAAUUCCCCAAGUAGAGGUGAAAUUCGUAGAUAUGGGGAGGAACACCGGUGGCGAAGGCGGGUCUCUGGGCAGUAACUGACGCUG